GAAAUGCGAUAAUUAAUGUGAAUUGCAGAAUUCAGUGAAUCAUCGAGUCUUUGAACGCACAUUGCGCCCCCUGGUAUUCCGGGGGGCAUGCCUGUCCGAGCGUCAUUGCUGCCCUCAAGCACGGCUUGUGGGUUGGGCUUCCGUCCCUGGCAACGGGGACGGGCCCAAAAGGCAGUGGCGGCACCAUGUCUGGUCCUCGAGCGUGUGGGGCUUUGUCACCCGCUCCCGUAGGUCCAGCUGGCAGCUAGCCUCGCAACCAAUCUUUUUAACCAGGUUGACCUCGGAUCAGGUAGGGAUACCCGCUGAACUUAAGC
RNAcentral lists this unclassified non-coding RNA (314 nucleotides) under plant metagenome. RNAcentral's name for it is "partial contains 5.8S ribosomal RNA, internal transcribed spacer 2, and large subunit ribosomal RNA". The stretch from base 1 to 105 matches the Rfam family "5.8S ribosomal RNA", at positions 50 to 154 of the family's 154-position model. The record is from RNAcentral.